This 73-nucleotide transfer RNA is filed under the name Marmota marmota marmota (Alpine marmot). It matches the Rfam family "tRNA". Rfam says of the family: Transfer RNA (tRNA) molecules are approximately 80 nucleotides in length. Their secondary structure includes four short double-helical elements and three loops (D, anti-codon, and T loops). Further hydrogen bonds mediate the characteristic L-shaped molecular structure. tRNAs have two regions of fundamental functional importance: the anti-codon, which is responsible for specific mRNA codon recognition, and the 3' end, to which the tRNAs corresponding amino acid is attached (by aminoacyl-tRNA synthetases). tRNAs cope with the degeneracy of the genetic code in two manners: having more than one tRNA (with a specific anti-codon) for a particular amino acid; and 'wobble' base-pairing, i.e. permitting non-standard base-pairing at the 3rd anti-codon position. Lineage: Eukaryota; Metazoa; Chordata; Mammalia; Rodentia; Sciuridae. RNAcentral also lists the same sequence under 1 other name. The record is from Rfam by way of RNAcentral.
UGGGAUGUAGCUCAGUGGUCCAGAGCUUGCCUGGGAAUAUGCAAGGUCCUAGGUUCAAUCCCUGGCAUUGAAA